UUCUUUUAUGUUUUUAAUAAAAUAAUAUUAAUAAUCUUCUAAUAAAAUAAAGCUAAAUUAUAGAAAACUUUUUAUAAACACUCAUUUUUUUACUUUUAUUUUCUAAUUUUUAAAAAUUUAUAUUUUACACCUUUAACAUUUCAAAUUAUUGUAUCUGGUUCUCUUCGUCAGAAUUCCAUCACUAUUUUCUUCAUUUCUUAUAAUUUAUACUAAAAAUACUCUUGAAAAUAAUAAAAAUAUAUUAAAAUU
RNAcentral lists this long non-coding RNA (249 nucleotides) under Ananas comosus (pineapple). Its description in RNAcentral is "long non-coding RNA (ACOM_LNC016134)". The record is from RNAcentral. Lineage: Eukaryota; Viridiplantae; Streptophyta; Magnoliopsida; Poales; Bromeliaceae.